RNAcentral lists this ribosomal RNA (246 nucleotides) under uncultured bacterium. RNAcentral's name for it is "partial 16S ribosomal RNA". It matches the Rfam family "Bacterial small subunit ribosomal RNA", at positions 527 to 772 of the family's 1533-position model. The record is from RNAcentral.
GUAGGGGGCAAGCGUUAUCCGGAUUUACUGGGUGUAAAGGGAGCGUAGACGGUGAUGCAAGUCAGAAGUGAAAGCCCGGGGCUCAACUCCGGGACUGCUUUUGAAACUGUGUGACUGGAGUGAAGGAGAGGUAAGCGGAAUUCCUGGUGUAGCGGUGAAAUGCGUAGAUAUCAGGAGGAACGCCAGUGGCGAAGGCGGCUUACUGGACUGUAACUGACGUUGAGGCUCGAAAGCGUGGGGAGCAAA